UAUGUCCUGCAAGCUUAGGGGUGCUACAAGUUGACCACUGCAGCAGUAAAGAUGACUCUGAAGAAUGGCGUGGGAUGGUUCCUUUCAAAUGCACUUGAGCAGCGGUCUCCAACCACAGGGCCACAGAGCUGGAGGUGGACAGUCUAGUUGCAGGAAAACAAGCUCAGAGAUCCCACUGAGUCUACGUUAUACUGGAUCUACCAUGAAAGACUUGUGAAUCCAGGAAGAGAGACUGACUGGGCAACAUGUUAUUCAGGUGGGAACAUCCAGUUGCGGGAAAACAAGCUUAACACGCCCACUGAUUCUACAUUAUGCUCCUACCUCCCGGCAGCCUCUCCAGGCCCAGAACUUUCUCCAGUCAGCCUCUACAGACCAAGCUCAUGACUCACAAUGGCCUAUUUAGGCCCAUACCCUACGUCACGGCAGCCUCCGCAGAUGAGCCUACUGCCUCACAACAGCCUCCACAGGCACAGCUCCAUCGUUACAAUGGCCUCUUUAGACCCAGCUCCUGCCUCCCAGCCUUCUCUCCAGGCUCUGAACUUUCUCAGCUGAAGCGAUCCUCCCACCUCAA
This 571-nucleotide long non-coding RNA is filed under the name Homo sapiens (human). RNAcentral describes it as "novel transcript". Lineage: Eukaryota; Metazoa; Chordata; Mammalia; Primates; Hominidae. The record is from RNAcentral.